Molecule: transfer RNA, 100 nt
Filed under: Ustilaginoidea virens
Lineage: Eukaryota; Fungi; Ascomycota; Sordariomycetes; Hypocreales; Clavicipitaceae
Rfam family: tRNA
About the family: Transfer RNA (tRNA) molecules are approximately 80 nucleotides in length. Their secondary structure includes four short double-helical elements and three loops (D, anti-codon, and T loops). Further hydrogen bonds mediate the characteristic L-shaped molecular structure. tRNAs have two regions of fundamental functional importance: the anti-codon, which is responsible for specific mRNA codon recognition, and the 3' end, to which the tRNAs corresponding amino acid is attached (by aminoacyl-tRNA synthetases). tRNAs cope with the degeneracy of the genetic code in two manners: having more than one tRNA (with a specific anti-codon) for a particular amino acid; and 'wobble' base-pairing, i.e. permitting non-standard base-pairing at the 3rd anti-codon position.
Source: Rfam by way of RNAcentral
GGCCGUGUAGCUCAAUGGCAGAGCGUCUGACUACGAUUAAUGUCCUGUGAUGUUAUUCCAUGUAAUCAGAAGGUCGCAGGUUCGACCCCUGUCUCGGUCA